RNAcentral lists this ribosomal RNA (253 nucleotides) under uncultured bacterium. RNAcentral's name for it is "partial 16S ribosomal RNA". It matches the Rfam family "Bacterial small subunit ribosomal RNA", at positions 524 to 776 of the family's 1533-position model. The record is from RNAcentral.
UACGUAGGGGGCGAGCGUUGUCCGGAAUUACUGGGCGUAAAGAGAGCGUAGGCGGCACUACAAGUCUCAUGUGAAGUACCCGGGCUUAACUUGGGGGUUGCAUGGGAAACUGUAGAGCUUGAGUACAGGAGAGGCAAGCGGAAUUCCUAGUGUAGCGGUGAAAUGCAUAGAUAUUAGGAGGAACACCAGUGGCGAAGGCGGCUUGCUGGACUGAAACUGACGCUGAGGCUCGAAAGCGUGGGGAGCAAACAGG